CNCGCCGUAAACGAUGAGUGCUAGGUGUUAGGCCCUUUCCGGGGCUUAGUGCCGGAGCUAACGCAAUAAGCACUCCGCCUGGGGAGUACGACCGCAAGGUUGAAACUCAAAGGAAUUGACGGGGGCCCGCACAAGCGGUGGAGCAUGUGGUUUAAUUCGAAGCAACGCGAAGAACCUUACCAGGUCUUGACAUCCCGAUGCUAUUCUUAGAGAUAGGAAGUUACUUCGGUACAUCGGAGACAGGUGGUGCAUGGUUGUCGUCAGCUCGUGUCGUGAGAUGUUGGGUUAAGUCCCGCAACGAGCGCAACCCUUAUUGUUAGUUGCCAUCAUUAAGUUGGGCACUCUAGCGAGACUGCCGGUAAUAAACNGGAGGAAGGUGGGGAUGACGUCAAAUCAUCAUGCCCCUUAUGACCUGGGCUACACACGUGCUACAAUGGUCGGUACAACGAGUUGCGAGCCGGUGACGGCAAGCUAAUCUCUGAAAGCCGAUCUCAGUUCGGAUUGGAGGCUGCAACUCGCCUCCAUGAAGUCGGAAUCGCUAGUAAUCGCGGAUCAGCACGCCGCGGUGAAUACGUUCCCGGGCCUUGUACACACCGCCCGUCACACCACGAGAGUUUGUAACACCCGAAGUCGGUGAGGUAACCUUUUAGGGGC
RNAcentral lists this ribosomal RNA (654 nucleotides) under uncultured bacterium. RNAcentral's name for it is "bacterial SSU rRNA". It matches the Rfam family "Bacterial small subunit ribosomal RNA", at positions 796 to 1449 of the family's 1533-position model. The record is from RNAcentral.